RNAcentral lists this transfer RNA (72 nucleotides) under Camelus bactrianus (Bactrian camel). It matches the Rfam family "tRNA". From Rfam's summary of the family: Transfer RNA (tRNA) molecules are approximately 80 nucleotides in length. Their secondary structure includes four short double-helical elements and three loops (D, anti-codon, and T loops). The record is from Rfam by way of RNAcentral. RNAcentral also lists the same sequence under 2 other names. Lineage: Eukaryota; Metazoa; Chordata; Mammalia; Artiodactyla; Camelidae.
GUGGGAAUAGCUCAGUGGUAGAGCAUGUGCUUAGCAUACACAAUGUCCUGGGUUCAAUCCCCAGGACCUCCA